GACGAACGCUGGCGGCGUGCUUAACACAUGCAAGUCGAACGGAAAGGCCCUGCUUUUGUGCGUUUCUCGAUUGACGAACGGGUGAGUAACACGUGUGUAUCCUGCCCUUGUCUUUGGGAUAACUUCAGGAAACUGGGGCUAAUAUCGCAUAUGAUCUCCUGCUGCAUGUUGUGGGUUGGAAAGUUUCGGCGGUUGGGGAUGGACUCGCGGCUUAUCAGCUUGUUUGUGGGGUAGUGGCUUACCAAGGCUUUGACGGGUAGCCGGCCUGAGAGGGUGACCGGCGACAAGGGGACUGAGAGAGGGCCCAGAAGCGUACGGGAGGCAGCAGGGGGGAAUAUUGCACAGUGGGCGGAAGCCGGAGGCAGCAACGCCGCGUGCGGGAUGACGGCCUUCGGGUUAUAAACAGAUUUCGACUGAGACGAAGCGUGAGUGACGGUAAUGGGUAAAGAAGCACCGGCUAACUACGUG
Molecule: ribosomal RNA, 468 nt
Filed under: uncultured bacterium
Lineage: Bacteria
Description: partial 16S ribosomal RNA
Rfam family: Bacterial small subunit ribosomal RNA
Source: RNAcentral